CAAAUAUCUGCUUACAUCCUGUGGUAGAAAACUCAAACACAAACUCAAGCUACCAAAAGACAGUGAUUUAAACAGCUGCUAGGUCAGCAGUAUGAAAAUGAAA
This is a long non-coding RNA of Sapajus apella (tufted capuchin), 103 nucleotides long. RefSeq lists it as uncharacterized. The transcript has 3 exons. NCBI's taxonomy places the organism in Eukaryota, Metazoa, Chordata, Mammalia, Primates, Cebidae. The record is from RefSeq and is a predicted model, not a curated record.